RNAcentral lists this long non-coding RNA (1104 nucleotides) under Linum usitatissimum (flax). RNAcentral describes it as "long non-coding RNA (LUSI_LNC004195)". The record is from RNAcentral. Lineage: Eukaryota; Viridiplantae; Streptophyta; Magnoliopsida; Malpighiales; Linaceae.
AAAAGAAAGAGCAGCCACGUAAGAGAAGAGGAAUGGCACUUAAUUAAUUUAAGAGAAAAUGAGUGAGCAGCCACGUAAAAGAAGAGCAAUUCUGUUUUGGGCCUUAGGCCAAAGUUAAGUUGUCGUUAUGUGUCAGGAGAUAAACCUUCAUUUUCAUUCAAGAGGAGAGGGACUAGAGAUCUUGGUCUCCAUAUUCAUUCUCAGCCCUACAUCGCAAUGAGAGGAAGUUUAGAGACGAAACACAGCGACAACGAAUUUUGAGUUUUGGGUGAGUGGGCACGUCGAGGGAUGGGAGCUCCUCCACACCUGGUCACUAUGACGAGAAGGGCAGCAUUUGGAUAUCAAGAAAGAGGUGAUCAUGAAGACCAGAUCAAAGGAGAUGAUGCUACAGCGACGCUCGUGGUUCACGGAGAAAGAGUUGGCGCUUGUGGCACUUCUUGGUUCAUCCCGUCGGUGGAGGUCGGCCAGCGAUUAGUGGCGGGAAGAGAUCAAGGCGGUAGUGGCAACUAGUUGGGUGUUGUCCGCAGUUUCUGGAGGCGGCGACAGUCUUCGCCGGAUUCUGGGACUUUGGUCAUCGAUAUGAGGAGCUCGUUGGAGAAGAUAAAUGACCAGCUAGUCAGAAACAGGAGUCGGGUGAACAAUCAUGAGUUAUGAAAGUCUGGUGGUCUGUCCGCAAAAUUGGGAAGAUAAUAACCUUAGUAUAAUUUCUAUAAGUUCAAGGACUGGAUUGUACUUUCUGGAAAGCUAGGUGACUCAUUUGCUUUUACUAUUUUCCUAAGACUAUUUUUUUAUCACCGAGAGAUGGAGGACUGGUUUUGUAAUUUUCCAUGUUGGGGUGUGGACAUGACAGUUCUACCCCUGAGUGUUUGAGCAAUAUGCAAAUGAGUAAUUGGAGCAUAACUUUACCGUUUCAACUCCAAAUGAUGCAUCAAUAGAAGUUGUGGAUUAGCGGCAACAAGGGGAAUCACCUCAUAUCUGAAUAAGAGAUGUUGAAUCGUCUAUGAGGUGGCGGUCCCGUUUAGUUGUUGUCCUCACCAAGUAGAAUGCAUGAUAGUUCUAGUAUGGUGUUAUUGUCUUCUACCAUGGGUAGUUGAUGAUCUGUGG